GGGCUAAAGCUAAAGUCCCUGGCUUCUGGCUGGGGUCUUCUAUACCACCCUUUGUUUAUUACACCUUUGUUGCUUUGGCAGGCCUGCCCUCGGGCUGCUGGCUCCGGCCGGCGAGCGCCUGCCAGAGGACCUAAACUCUGUUUGUCUAUAAUGUCUGAGUACUAUAUAAUAGUUAAAACUUUCAACAACGGAUCUCUUGGUUCUGGCAUCGAUGAAGAACGCAGCGAAAUGCGAUAAGUAAUGUGAAUUGCAGAAUUCAGUGAAUCAUCGAAUCUUUGAACGCACAUUGCGCUCCCUGGUAUUCCGGGGAGCAUGCCUGUUCGAGCGUCAUUACAACCCUCAAGCUCUGCUUGGUGUUGGGCCCCGCCGCCCCGGCGGGCCCUAAAGUCAGUGGCGGUGCCGUCCGGCUCCGAGCGUAGUAAUUUUUCUCGCUUUGGAGGCCCGGGCGCGUGCUCGCCAUCAACCCCCAAUUUUUUCAGGUUGACCUCGGAUCAGGUAGGGAUACCCGCUGAACUUAAGCAUAUCAAA
This 528-nucleotide ribosomal RNA is filed under the name fungal sp. RNAcentral describes it as "eukaryotic LSU rRNA". The stretch from base 177 to 330 matches the Rfam family "5.8S ribosomal RNA". Lineage: Eukaryota; Fungi. The record is from RNAcentral.